This is a long non-coding RNA of Symphalangus syndactylus (siamang), 1344 nucleotides long. RefSeq lists it as uncharacterized. The record is from RefSeq and is a predicted model, not a curated record. Lineage: Eukaryota; Metazoa; Chordata; Mammalia; Primates; Hylobatidae.
CGGCACUCGUGACCUCGCCAGCUCUCAGCUCCCUCGGGCGUUUUCGUGCACGCUAAUGUGCGCCUCUGUGUUUUCCUAAAUGCUGGUUUCUUCAUCAAGCGGCGGAAUAACGCAUCAGGGCAGGUGGCCCACGUCACCGGGGUGAUGCGCUGGUGCUCGCCGGGGCGGGCGCUGUGCCUGCGGGAGCCGCGCGGCCGGCGCGGUGUCGGGGCGCCUGGUGGGGGCCGAGCCGCGCCCGCACGUCCCUCAGAACUCUCAGUGAGUGUCAGAUCAACACAUUCAUCCACCAUAUCCCGUGUGUAUAAGAACAAUCCAUCACUCCUGACCUAAUCCAGCACAGAACAGAACUUCUGGAAGAGGACCAAAGAAGAGAAAAAGUGGAAGUGUCACAUGCCCAGAGGAAAAUAGAUGCUACAGAGAUGAAUAAAACAAAACAAAACAAAAGGAAGAAAGCCGAGCUAAUCUGGGAGUUCCAUCACGGCUAAGAACGCAUCGUUGUUUUGUCACGCGGUUCCUAGCCCGGCUCAGACCUGGGCUGCGGCACCUCAGGCAUCUCCUUUCAUCUCCUGGCUCUUCUCCUGGCUCCCGGGCACUUCUCGAGACUUUUUGGACCUGGACUGGUCCAUGGCAGAACACCUCUUUCCUGAGUCCUCCCCAUGCACCUGCCCAAAGCGGGGGAUUGGGGUGGCAAUCUGCGAGAUGCCAGGCUCCUCAAAUGGAGCCGUCACCCCCUAGGCUGUACUUGGCAUUGUCUCCAAGGAGCCUGGGGAGGUAACCGGUUGGGGACUGAUUCACUUGGGAGGGAGGGAGCGAGUGCAGAUUGCAGAUGCUAUCUAGUCGGGCCAAUCAACCUGGAGAAGGGCAGGUCUGUGUCUCAACUGGUUUAGGGGUGGGAGAGUGGGAUCGGAACUUUUACACCUUGCAUUCUUAGGACGUCACAAUGGUUUUCCCAAGGCCUCCUUAUCUGAGGCUGUUUACCUAUUCAACCAGCAUAGGCAGGUUCAGGACUCCCACUUUGUCCGGGUUCUGUCCUCACAGGCACAGGAAGAUUAAUGCGAACAACAGGGUCUGACAAACCAAAACUCACAGAUAAGAGACUCGGGUUAUUGGGGCAGAUGCCAGAAGUCAUGGGACCUUCACGGGGUGGCUGUAGGUUGAGCAAUCUCCCUCGGGAUGUGAGGGGGUUAUUUCUGCGUUAUUGGUCAUUGAGAAAUUCCCUAAUCUUAGAAAAGGAAUGGAACUAAGGACUUGAAUUGGAGUAUACGUAGUUGACCUAAUUAUAAGGUUGUCCAUCCGUCUGUUUAAUAAACAGUUCCAUGAUGUGGGACGGCAAGGUCACUCACA